CUUGCUUGACGUUAGCUCCGGAGGAAGCCACGGCUAACUCUGUGCCAGCAGCCACGGUAAUACAGAGGUGGCAAGCGUUGUUCGGAAUUAUUGGGCGUAAAGAGCACGUAGGCGGCCCUGCAAGUCAGCUGUGAAAUCCUUCUGCUCAACGGAAGAACGGCAGUUGAUACUACAGGGCUCGAGUGCGGGAGGGGAGAGUGGAACUUCUGGU
This 211-nucleotide ribosomal RNA is filed under the name uncultured Planctomycetota bacterium. RNAcentral describes it as "uncultured planctomycete partial 16S ribosomal RNA". It matches the Rfam family "Bacterial small subunit ribosomal RNA", at positions 464 to 674 of the family's 1533-position model. Lineage: Bacteria; Pseudomonadati; Planctomycetota. The record is from RNAcentral.